UACAGAGGGGGCAAGCGUUAUUCGGAAUUAUUGGGCGUAAAGGGCGCGUAGGCGGCAUCGCAAGUGGAAGGUGAAAUCCCUCGGCUUAACCGAGGAACUGCCCUCCAAACUGCUUCGCUUGAGACCGGGAGAGGUGAGUGGAAUUCCCAGUGUAGCGGUGAAAUGCGUAGAUAUUGGGAGGAACACCAGUGGCGAAGGCGGCUCACUGGACCGGUACUGACGCUGAUGCGCGAAAGCGUGGGGAGCAAACGGG
RNAcentral lists this ribosomal RNA (253 nucleotides) under uncultured bacterium. Its description in RNAcentral is "partial 16S ribosomal RNA". It matches the Rfam family "Bacterial small subunit ribosomal RNA", at positions 524 to 776 of the family's 1533-position model. The record is from RNAcentral.